GCUCCAAUAGCGUAUAUUAAUGUUUGUUGCAGUUAAAAAGCUCGUAGUUGGAUUUCUGGUCGGAGUGCUCGGCCAUCUCCGCAAGGGGUUGUGCAUGGGUCAUCUUCGGUCAUCCUCAGGGGAACUUGCAGUGGUAUUCAUUUAUCGUUGUGAGGACGCCUGUCGUUUACUGUGAACAAUUAGAGUGUUCAAGCAAGGUG
This 200-nucleotide ribosomal RNA is filed under the name uncultured eukaryote. Its description in RNAcentral is "partial 18S ribosomal RNA". It matches the Rfam family "Eukaryotic small subunit ribosomal RNA", at positions 588 to 786 of the family's 1831-position model. The record is from RNAcentral.